Syngnathus typhle (broad-nosed pipefish) is the source of this 512-nucleotide long non-coding RNA. RefSeq lists it as uncharacterized. Lineage: Eukaryota; Metazoa; Chordata; Actinopteri; Syngnathiformes; Syngnathidae. The transcript has 4 exons. The record is from RefSeq and is a predicted model, not a curated record.
GUGUGUGCAGCAGGUGUCCAGGAGAAGAAGUGUUGUGUGUCAGUGGAUAUGUGACGAUGGCAGCUGACGGACUUAUUGGGUGUUUUUGUGAGGUUUGUUAGCCUCCCUGUAGACUUAUGAAGACACACAGAGAGUACAACAGGAGACAAAUAGUUAUUGGGGGCGCUGGAACGACGCUCGAUUUUAAAACAUUCCACUGACCUUAAGAAGAGCUCUUGCAAUGGCUAUCCUCUGCUUCUGACCACCUGGGACACAAACACAAAAUCCUUAUUCACUCAAAAGCUCCCACAGUCUCGUUCCUGCACCGAAGCCCUUCAUCAACUCCGAGUAGAACGUACUCAGACCUGCCACACGGAAACACGGUGACCAACUAUCCAGAGGGAUCCACUCACCAUCAUACUGACGCCAGCGAUGGCCUGGGCCGAGGCUCUCAGGCCGUCGGACAGAUUGUCGGUGAUGGAGCGUCCGACUACGGCCGUAUCUGCGGAUAGGCGAUUGAUCAGCUCGCCCGU